GGCCCAACUUUGAAGUAGAGUAGAUUAGUAGGAUCGGCUAAUNCCACUAAACUACUCUACUUCGAGUUUGUGCCC
Haemonchus placei is the source of this 75-nucleotide non-coding RNA. The record is from Rfam. Lineage: Eukaryota; Metazoa; Nematoda; Chromadorea; Rhabditida; Trichostrongylidae.